Molecule: transfer RNA, 72 nt
Filed under: Marmota monax (woodchuck)
Lineage: Eukaryota; Metazoa; Chordata; Mammalia; Rodentia; Sciuridae
Rfam family: tRNA
About the family: Transfer RNA (tRNA) molecules are approximately 80 nucleotides in length. Their secondary structure includes four short double-helical elements and three loops (D, anti-codon, and T loops). Further hydrogen bonds mediate the characteristic L-shaped molecular structure. tRNAs have two regions of fundamental functional importance: the anti-codon, which is responsible for specific mRNA codon recognition, and the 3' end, to which the tRNAs corresponding amino acid is attached (by aminoacyl-tRNA synthetases). tRNAs cope with the degeneracy of the genetic code in two manners: having more than one tRNA (with a specific anti-codon) for a particular amino acid; and 'wobble' base-pairing, i.e. permitting non-standard base-pairing at the 3rd anti-codon position.
Source: Rfam by way of RNAcentral
UGUGGUGUGGCUCAGUGGAUGAGCACUUGCCUAGCAUGUAUGAAGCCCUGAGUUCGAUCCUCAGCACCACAU